CAGAAGCGGGGGAUAACACCUGGAAACAGAUGCUAAUACCGCAUAACAACUUGGACCGCAUGGUCCGAGCUUGAAAGAUGGCUUCGGCUAUCACUUUUGGAUGGUCCCGCGGCGUAUUAGCUAGAUGGUGGGGUAACGGCUCACCAUGGCAAUGAUACGUAGCCGACCUGAGAGGGUAAUCGGCCACAUUGGGACUGAGACACGGCCCAAACUCCUACGGGAGGCAGCAGUAGGGAAUCUUCCACAAUGGACGAAAGUCUGAUGGAGCAACGCCGCGUGAGUGAAGAAGGGUUUCGGCUCGUAAAACUCUGUUGUUAAAGAAGAACAUAUCUGAGAGUAACUGUUCAGGUAUUGACGGUAUUUAACCAGAAAGCCACGGCUAACUACGUGCCAGCAG
This 397-nucleotide ribosomal RNA is filed under the name Lactiplantibacillus plantarum. RNAcentral's name for it is "bacterial SSU rRNA". It matches the Rfam family "Bacterial small subunit ribosomal RNA", at positions 131 to 514 of the family's 1533-position model. The record is from RNAcentral. Lineage: Bacteria; Bacillati; Bacillota; Bacilli; Lactobacillales; Lactobacillaceae.